Molecule: small nucleolar RNA, 133 nt
Filed under: Choloepus hoffmanni (Hoffmann's two-fingered sloth)
Lineage: Eukaryota; Metazoa; Chordata; Mammalia; Pilosa; Megalonychidae
Description: Small nucleolar RNA SNORA1 (ENSCHOG00000015085.1)
Rfam family: Small nucleolar RNA SNORA1
About the family: ACA1 is a member of the H/ACA class of snoRNA that guide the sites of modification of uridines to pseudouridines.
Source: RNAcentral
AGCCUCAUUCCAGAUGAGAAUGGGCACAGUUGAUCAUGGUGUCCAGAAUUGCUAAUGUGGCUAAACUGAGACACAGGUUAUGCUUCCAUCACUGUAAAUUUAUUGCAGUGGUGACAAUGAGACUGUAACAUAU